RNAcentral lists this ribosomal RNA (255 nucleotides) under uncultured bacterium. RNAcentral's name for it is "partial 16S ribosomal RNA". It matches the Rfam family "Bacterial small subunit ribosomal RNA", at positions 524 to 776 of the family's 1533-position model. The record is from RNAcentral.
UACGUAGGGCGCAAGCGUUGUCCGGAAUUAUUGGGCGUAAAGAGCUCGUAGGCGGCCUGUUGCGUCCGCUGUGAAAUCCCGGGGCUCAACCCCGGGCCUGCAGUGGAUACGGGCUGGCUAGAGGCAGGCAGGGGAGAACGGAAUUCCUGGUGUAGCGGUGAAAUGCGCAGAUAUCAGGAGGAACACCGGUGGCGAAGGCGGUUCUCUGGGCCUGUACUGACGCUGAGGAGCGAAAAGCGUGGGGGAGCGAACAGG